This is a non-coding RNA of Pelobates cultripes (western spadefoot toad), 105 nucleotides long. The record is from the annotation of a GenBank genome assembly. NCBI's taxonomy places the organism in Eukaryota, Metazoa, Chordata, Amphibia, Anura, Pelobatidae.
AAUACAGUCUUUUGUAGUGGGGGAUUCUUCAGAGUGGUGUAGAUGCGUCUUUGUACAUCGCAUCUACACCACUCUGAAGAAUCCCCCACUACAAAAGACUGUAUU